AUAACAAUACAGGACUCCUUAGAGGCCCUGUAAUUGGAAUGAGUCCACUUGAAAUCCUUUAACUCUGAUCAACUGGAGGGCAAGUCUGGUGCAGAGCGACUGACCCGUGCGUGCUGCAGCUGAAACUCCACUAUCGCCUGCUGCUG
Pelobates cultripes (western spadefoot toad) is the source of this 146-nucleotide non-coding RNA. The record is from the annotation of a GenBank genome assembly. Lineage: Eukaryota; Metazoa; Chordata; Amphibia; Anura; Pelobatidae.